AUGGCUGAGAAGGCGGUGUGGGAUGAUGCCCAUCUGAAGAAACUCGUUGAAAUAUUGAGAGAAGAGGUUGAAAAGGGGAAUAGGCCAUUAGGUUAUUUAAACAAGAAGGGUUGGGCAAAUGUUUUGGAGAAAUGGGAAGCAAGAACGAGAAAGAAGUAUCCCAAGGAUAAAUUCAAGAACAAGUGGGAUGCCAUAAAAAAUGAGUACACUUGGUUCAUGGAGUUGAAAAAUGAAGCAACUGGGCUUGGAUGUGAUGAUGCAAAGAGAACCGUUGAUUGCUCUAAAGAAUGGUGGGAUGAACAUAUCAAGAGAUGCCAAGAGAGUACAGGAAAGAAAUGCAAUCAUAUGAAGUUCAAAAAAUAG
RNAcentral lists this ribosomal RNA (363 nucleotides) under Triticum aestivum (bread wheat). Its description in RNAcentral is "partial small subunit ribosomal RNA". The record is from RNAcentral. Lineage: Eukaryota; Viridiplantae; Streptophyta; Magnoliopsida; Poales; Poaceae.